RNAcentral lists this unclassified non-coding RNA (270 nucleotides) under Hevea brasiliensis (rubber tree). The record is from RNAcentral. Lineage: Eukaryota; Viridiplantae; Streptophyta; Magnoliopsida; Malpighiales; Euphorbiaceae.
GAUUAUCAAAGCAAAGAGAAGGCUUAUGGUGAAAUUUUGAUUCAUUCCUCUUAUUUUUUCUAAGUUUUGAUUACAUUCAUUACUUCACUGUAGAUUCUUAGAAGAUAUUUUAAUUUAAGUUGCAAAUAAAUACAAAAAAGUUAAGUGGGCAACUAAAUGCUUGAAACUGCUAAGAAAUGACCUACUUGCCGGCUGCCGCAUAUUCUAACCAUAACCACUCAUUCUUAAAGCUCAUUAAUCUGCAAGGCUCCUUCAAAACAAGUAUCAAGA